UGUGAACAGGCCUGGCUAUCUCUAUGUAUUUGAAAGCAUAAUGGAAAAUUGACUGCUGAAUUCCCAUAUGGUUUCUGAAAGAUAGUCUAUGAUGGGGAUGGCUCUUGAAGAAGUAAUAGCUCUGUAUAGAAUCCUGGUCUGUGUUUAGAAGCUUUGGUAGUGCUACAGUAUAUGGAAGCCCUAACUGUGCCACAGAACGUCACUGUACAAGAUGAGUAGGCAACAUAAGACUGGACAGUCACUUCUGAGCAGAAGAAAAAAGUCUGACCUUGUUUACCAGAGCAGGGGACCAGUGUAGGGAUCAAUGAGAGAGGAGGUGCCAGGAAGUUGGUAAGCUCGAGUGCUGGCCAGAAUCAGAACACAAAAACAUGUGCAGAGGUAUGUGCUGUAGGUGGCUCAGGGUAAGGGAGCAGAGCACUGGGUAGGCCACCAAGGCAUUGGGGUGAGAAUAGGACCUUGGUGUGGUUAGGGAUUAGGAAUGCAGACAGAUGGACC
This is a long non-coding RNA of Athene cunicularia (burrowing owl), 495 nucleotides long. RefSeq lists it as uncharacterized. The record is from RefSeq and is a predicted model, not a curated record. Lineage: Eukaryota; Metazoa; Chordata; Aves; Strigiformes; Strigidae. The transcript has 3 exons.